RNAcentral lists this ribosomal RNA (429 nucleotides) under Pseudomonadota bacterium. Its description in RNAcentral is "Proteobacteria bacterium partial 16S ribosomal RNA". It matches the Rfam family "Bacterial small subunit ribosomal RNA", at positions 355 to 776 of the family's 1533-position model. Lineage: Bacteria; Pseudomonadati; Pseudomonadota. The record is from RNAcentral.
UGGGGAAUAUUGGACAAUGGGCGAAAGCCUGAUCCAGCCAUGCCGCGUGUGUGAAGAAGGUCUUCGGAUUGUACAGCACUUUAAGUUGGGAGGAAGGGCAGUAAGCGAAUACCUUGCUUUUUUGACGUUACCGACAGAAUAAGCACCGGCUAACUCUGUGCCAGCAGCCGCGGUAAUACAGAGGGUGCAAGCGUUAAUCGGAAUUACUGGGCGUAAAGCGCGCGUAGGUGGUUCGUUAAGUUGAAUGUGUAAGCCCCGGGCUCAACCUGGGAACUGCAGCCAAAACUAGCGGGCUAGAGUAGGGGAGAGGGUGGUGGAAUUUCCUGUGUAGCGGUGAAAUGCGUAGAUAUAGGAAGGAACACCAGUGGCGAAGGCGACCACCUGGGCUCAUACUGACACUGAGGUGCGAAAGCGUGGGGAGCAAACAGG